This 71-nucleotide transfer RNA is filed under the name Marmota monax (woodchuck). RNAcentral's name for it is "tRNA.Val". The record is from RNAcentral. Lineage: Eukaryota; Metazoa; Chordata; Mammalia; Rodentia; Sciuridae.
UGGGAUAUAGCUCAGUUGGUAGAGUGCUUGCCUUACAUGCACAAGGCUGAGAAUCGAACCUAGUACCUCAC